RNAcentral lists this unclassified non-coding RNA (225 nucleotides) under uncultured Cellvibrionales bacterium. Its description in RNAcentral is "contains 16S-23S intergenic spacer region". Lineage: Bacteria; Pseudomonadati; Pseudomonadota; Gammaproteobacteria; Cellvibrionales. The record is from RNAcentral.
UCCGGUUUGUCACCGGCAGUCUCCUUAGAGUUCCCGCCAUUACGCGCUGGCAACUAAGGACAAGGGUUGCGCUCGUUACGGGACUUAACCCAACAUCUCACGACACGAGCUGACGACAGCCAUGCAGCACCUGUCACUUGGCUCCCGAAGGCACCAAAGCAUCUCUGCUAAGUUCCAAGGAUGUCAAGGCCUGGUAAGGUGGGGAUGACGUAUGAGAGUACGUCC